This 478-nucleotide ribosomal RNA is filed under the name uncultured bacterium. Its description in RNAcentral is "partial 16S ribosomal RNA". It matches the Rfam family "Bacterial small subunit ribosomal RNA", at positions 28 to 507 of the family's 1533-position model. The record is from RNAcentral.
GAUGAACGCUGGCGGCGUGCUUAACACAUGCAAGUCGAACGGGAAACCUUUUAUUUAAUCUUCGGCAGAUUUUGCUGGCGUCUAGUGGCGGACUGGGGAGUAACGCGUGUGUAACCUGCCUUAUACUGGGGGAUAACAACCAGACAUCGUUACUAAAAAUGCAUCAGCGCAUAGGCUUGCAUGGUCCGGUGUGAACAACACCGGUGGGACCUGAGGGAUGUGCGCUGGAUUAGCGAGUAGGAAGGGUACCGGCAUACCAAGGCGACGAUGCAUAGCCGGCACGGGAGCACGACCGGGAACACUGGGAGUGAGACAAGGACCAGACUCCUAGGGAAGGAAGCAGUUGGGAAUAAUGCACAAUGGGGGAGACACUGAUGCAGCGACGCCGCGUGAAGGAAGUAGUAUCUCGGUAUGUGAACGUCUAUCAGCAGGGAAGAUAGUGACGGUACCUGACUAAGAAGCCCCGGCUAACUACGUG